RNAcentral lists this ribosomal RNA (514 nucleotides) under uncultured bacterium. Its description in RNAcentral is "partial 16S ribosomal RNA". It matches the Rfam family "Bacterial small subunit ribosomal RNA", at positions 28 to 523 of the family's 1533-position model. The record is from RNAcentral.
GAUGAACGCUGGCGGCGUGCCUAAUACAUGCAAGUCGAGCGAACGUCAUAGAAGCUUGCUUCUGUGACGUUAGCGGCGGACGGGUGAGUAACACGUGGGCAACCUGCCUGUAAGACUGGGAUAACUUCGGGAAACCGAAGCUAAUACCGGAUAGGAUCUUCUCCUUCAUGGGAGAUGAUUGAAAGAUGGUUUCGGCUAUCACUUACAGAUGGGCCCGCGGUGCAUUAGCUAGUUGGUGAGGUAACGGCUCACCAAGGCAACGAUGCAUAGCCGACCUGGGAGGGUGAUCGGCCACACUGGGACUGAGACACGGCCCAGACUCCUACGGGAGGCAGCAGUAGGGAAUCUUCCGCAAUGGACGAAAGUCUGACGGAGCAACGCCGCGUGAGUGAUGAAGGCUUUCGGGUCGUAAAACUCUGUUGUUAGGGAAGAACAAGUACGAGAGUAACUGCUCGUACCUUGACGGUACCUAACCAGAAAGCCACGGCUAACUACGUGCCAGCCGCCGCCGUAA